This is a non-coding RNA of Camellia sinensis, 331 nucleotides long. The record is from RefSeq and is a predicted model, not a curated record. NCBI's taxonomy places the organism in Eukaryota, Viridiplantae, Streptophyta, Magnoliopsida, Ericales, Theaceae.
UGUGAGAAUUGCGAGAGGAGUAAUGGAGCUUGUGGGUAUUCUGGAACUUACAAUUCAUUUGUGUGCAACUGUCCUAGUGGGUUGAAUACGACAACAGAUUGUUUCUUCGCAGCAUCUUGGAACCAUGGCUUAGUACUACUGCCAUGCAGACCGGGAAAUGGGUGAUCUACUGUUUGGCAUGGUUUCUGAUGUUGCUGUAGAAUGAAGAAGAGCAGUUUGUGGAAAUGAAUUCCAAUGCUGGAAGCAAAUAAAACUGCUAGUUGACUUUUUCUUCUUGUGAUUUCUCCAAUUUGAAGGGAAUUGAAAGGCACGAGAUUUUUUUGUCUAUAAA